RNAcentral lists this transfer RNA (71 nucleotides) under Idiocerini gen. 'Neoamritatus' sp. Its description in RNAcentral is "tRNA-Val". The record is from RNAcentral. Lineage: Eukaryota; Metazoa; Arthropoda; Insecta; Hemiptera; Cicadellidae.
CAGAUUGUAGCUUAUUAAUUAAAGCUUAUUUUUUACAUUAAUAUGAAGGUAUUUAAAUUUAUUCUGUCUGA